GAUCAUUACAGUAUUCAUUUGCCAGCGCUUAACUGCGCGGCGAAAAACCUUACACACAGUGUCUUUUUGAAACAGAACUCUUGCUUUGGUUUGGCCUAGAGAUAGGUUGGGCCAGAGGUUUAACAAAACACAAUUUAAUUAUUUUUACAGAUAGUCAAAUUUUGAAUUAAUCUUCAAAACUUUCAACAACGGAUCUCUUGGUUCUCGCAUCGAUGAAGAACGCAGCGAAAUGCGAUAAGUAAUAUGAAUUGCAGAUUUUCGUGAAUCAUCGAAUCUUUGAACGCACAUUGCGCCCUCUGGUAUUCCAGAGGGCAUGCCUGUUUGAGCGUCAUUUCUCUCUCAAACCCCCGGGUUUGGUAUUGAGUGAUACUCUUAGUCGGACUAGGCGUUUGCUUGAAAAGUAUUGGCAUGGGUAGUACUGGAUAGUGCUGUCGACCUCUCAAUGUAUUAGGUUUAUCCAACUCGUUGAAUGGUGUGGCGGGAUAUUUCUGGUAUUGUUGGCCCGGCCUUACAACAACCAAACAAGUUUGACCUCAAAUCAGGUAGGAAUACCCGCUGAACUUAAGCAUAUCAAUAAGCGGAGGA
RNAcentral lists this ribosomal RNA (585 nucleotides) under Meyerozyma guilliermondii. Its description in RNAcentral is "eukaryotic LSU rRNA". The stretch from base 178 to 331 matches the Rfam family "5.8S ribosomal RNA". Lineage: Eukaryota; Fungi; Ascomycota; Pichiomycetes; Serinales; Debaryomycetaceae. The record is from RNAcentral.